Molecule: ribosomal RNA, 470 nt
Filed under: uncultured bacterium
Lineage: Bacteria
Description: bacterial SSU rRNA
Rfam family: Bacterial small subunit ribosomal RNA
Source: RNAcentral
CUACGCACUCCUACGGGAGCAGCAGUGGGGAAUAUUGCACAAUGGGCGCAAGCCUGAUGCAGCCAUGCCGCGUGUAUGAAGAAGGCCUUCGGGUUGUAAAGUACUUUCAGCAGUGAGGAAGGUGGGUAUGUUAAUAGCAUAUUCAUUUGACGUUAGCUGCAGAAGAAGCACCGGCUAACUCCGUGCCAGCAGCCGCGGUAAUACGGAGGGUGCGAGCGUUAAUCGGAAUUACUGGGCGUAAAGCGCAUGCAGGUGGUUUGUUAAGUCAGAUGUGAAAGCCCGGGGCUCAACCUCGGAAUUGCAUUUGAAACUGGCAAACUAGAGUACUGUAGAGGGGGUAGAAUUUCAGGUGUAGCGGUGAAAUGCGUAGAGAUCUGAAGGAAUACCGGUGGCGAAGGCGGCCCCCUGGACAGAUACUGACACUCAGAUGCGAAAGCGUGGGGAGCAAACAGGAUUAGAUACCCUGGUAG